GGGGCAACGUCCGGGGAGGGAGGAAAUAGUGUAGUAAAAAAUAAAACCACAGCCCAGCUGAGUGCGAGAGACGAGCAGAGCCAGAGCCAGAGAAGCAGGAAAUCACAGCCUGGCUGGAGUGCUGCAGAGAUGGUCUGAGUAAUUAUCAACGCCUGCAGGUAUGUGGCAGCAAAAAUUGGGAGCCUGUGUGGCCACAGAGCUGAGGAGCCCCUUACCACCACGGCCCACCCAGCUGACCACAGCCAGAACCAAAAUGUAAACACAGUGAUAGCAGAAGCCCCCCCUCGGGUGACGGACGCAGUCACUAGGGACAAGAUGCUCGGCCCUGAACAGCCCUGCGGAUCCUGAGGGUAGAUGGCCUCAGGGCCCUCCUUGGAAGCCCUAGAUCUUUCUCACGGACUCCGCGAGGGUCUUGGUCUGCUGGGGCUCCUGGUCCCCGGGGCUCGGAAAUGUGUGUUCACCAGUAAAUCCAUCUUGUGUUUGCUCUCUGUACAUUUGUAUAACAAUCUGAAUUGUCUUUAUUAACCCCUUGCCACAAGGAUUUCCCAGCAUGAAAGACAAAUUAAGUCCGACACUCAGCACCUGCGAGAACUGCUGCCUGCAAAACUCACUUCAGGCUCUGUACUGGGGCCAGGGAGAAUAUGUUACCCUUCUCAAUCUAAUAACAAACCAAAGUCGUCUUCAAUACGUACCUAGGGCCAGAUUCUGGUCUCAUGUAUACUGGGGUAACUUCAGAGUAACUUCACUGAAGUUAAUAGAGUCAGAUCCUCGGCUGGUAUAAAUUAGUACUGCUCCAUUGAUUGGAGCUAUGCUGAUUUGCACCAGCUGAGGAUUUGGACCAGAGUAGCUCUGAAUUUACACUGGUAUAACAGAGAAUCUGGCCUUUAGGGCUAAAAAUCAUCUCUAAAACGGUUAUGAAGCAGAGAAACUCCAUUGAUUUCAAUGAAGUUACACUGGAUCUACAUGGAGUAAGAGAGCGCAGAAUUUGGCCCAUGGAGGGAAGACACCACCCUUGCAUGGGUGGAUGGAUCUGGCCCUCGGUGAUCCGAUUUCCUUUCCUCUGGCAAGUCCUCCCUGUAUUGUCACAGCGAGCAAUGACGACAGAUUCACAAACUCCUUUGUGUGGAGAUGAACAAGUCUGAAUCCUUCCUGUGCUACAAACCCUCAAUUCAACCAGCAAUAAAGACUGAAAUCAGAAUGAAAGCCGGCGUGCUGUGCAUUUAUGGCCUUUUGGUGCUGUUCCAUUUGCGAGCGUUUAUUCCUUUGGAGUACACAGUGAAUUCUUUAUUAGUUGUAUUACGGUUGCCGUGAAGGCCCCAGCUCAGAUUACGGCCCUAUGGUGUCUUACAAUGUGUGCAAACAUGUGGUAAGAGGUAGCUUGUGCUCCUGAAUUGCUUACAGCCUACACAGAAAAGACAGAUGGGGGGAGAGGGGGAAGGGAUUCAGCAGUACUGUGAAUGAUUCCCCCUCAUCCUUGGGUGCCCCCUGGCACCCGGGAGCUCCAGCAUCAGGGCUACAUCCCAAUUCCCCUCUCGGAAACGCUCCAUGGCAGGCUCUCUUGCCGGGGGAGGGGAGGCCCUUUAUUACAAAAACAUAGUGCAAAUAAUCCUUAACAAACGUCCCAGAACAUAGUCCACUUAUCAGUCCCUCAUGCCCCACUCCAGGGAAAUAGUCUUUAAAAUCCCAUCACCUCUAGCUCACCAGCAUAGCACGUGCCACAUCUCGGCAUCAUCCACCACCUCUGGGCUCUUCUCCUGUCCUUCUGCUAGGACGGCCUUCCAGCGGGAGUGCAGCCCCUUUUCUUUCCAACAGGAACCCCACCCCCACCACUAGCCUCUCCGCUGGGACAUCAUCCUCACCAGGGGAACAGCAACACUCCCCAGUUCUGUUAACCUCUCAUCUCAGACAGGCCGGCAAAGAAACCCUUCCACUGCUCCCCUGGCUUCAGCCCUCCAGCUUCAACCCGCUGGCUUCGAAGUCAGCAGGAAAGUCCCUAUGCUGCCCCACUGCCUUCAGCCUUCUUCAGCUUGGGGAGGUCAGCCAAAAACCCCUCCGCUGCUUUUUAACCACCCACUGCCCCAGGAACCUCUUACACCUCCCUUCAAGGACCUCCUACCUCUCUGACUCUCCCUCUGGUGCCACCCCAUGCUCUUAAUCAGCCAAAUUGGGAGCAUCACUUCUGGCCUGAACCUGCUUCCUUUCUAAGGGCCAGCCACCCUGGGACAGGUACAGAGAGAGGAAGUGACCUGCCUGAGUAUUAGCACCAAAAUAUCCUGACUCCCAGCCUAGUGCCCUGUCAAGACAACCAGAGGUAACAUUUUCUAUUUUGUUACCAUAAGCUGGUCUGUUUCAAGAGUUUCAUGACAAAGACCUGCUCAGAACAAUGCAGAACGUCCCGCCACAAGAAACUAUUGAGGCUGGGGGUGAAAUGCUCACUGAAGUCAUUGUUAAAAACUUCGGCGGAGCCAGGAUUUCUCUGCAGAAAAAAAGUCUUCAAAAAAAAAAAAAAAGGAUUGGACGCUUACAUGGAUAGCACGAACCUCCACACUUAACAAAAAGUUAUAGGGGACACAAACCGCACAUUUCAGGGCACACGCCAACGGAGAGAGUAAGGAUGGAAUUUCUCCUGGGAGCAGGUUACUUUUUAAUUGUUCCCUAUGGAUUUUUUUGCCCUUUCAUCAAAAACGUCUGGUAGGGACCCCUGUCGGUGACGAGAUACUAAGUUGGAUCACGCUAGUCUGAGGUGGUCUAGCAAUUCCCAUGUUCCUAUGUAAUAGGUGGAGCUUGGUUUAAACGAUUGUCUCCAUGGAGAGGCAAAUUACAAAUGAAUGUGUUUCAUCAACAGAAAUAAGAUAUUCAGGGGACUUCACAGUUAGAAAUAACUGGGCAGGAGCACAUCAUUACAACUGUCUCUCUAGCCCCAUAUACCCUGAUCAUCACUAGGACUUCUGUGUGCCUAAGGCAGCUACUACAAUCUUACAGAUACAGCCUGUCGUGGUCGCGAGGUCAUGUAAAUCCCUAUUGCCGUUUGUACUGGAUCAGCUCCUCCAUGGAACUAUAGCCUUAAGUUUACCUGCUGAAACCAGAUGAUACGGUCUGCAGUUGUCAGAUGGAUUCAUAUGGAAAGCACGAGCCAUGUCUGACUUGGGUGUUGAUUGCCCGUUCGUGGUUAUUACUCCAGGACACAAUUACUUGUAUAAUUUAAGCACUUCAUUCACCUGCCAUUUAUUAAAUUAACCUGGUAACAAGCCAGGAAUCAUAACAUUCAAACACCAGUAGGAGAACACUUCAAUCUCUCUGGUCACUCAAUAACAGACCUCAAAGAGGCAAUUCUUCAACAAAAAAAACUUUAAAAACAGACUCCAACG
Molecule: long non-coding RNA, 3368 nt
Organism: Mauremys reevesii (Reeves's turtle)
Lineage: Eukaryota; Metazoa; Chordata; Testudines; Geoemydidae
Exons: 3
Source: RefSeq, a predicted model, not a curated record